GACGAACGCUGGCGGCGUGCUUAACACAUGCAAGUCGAACGGAAAGGCCCUGCUUUUGUGGGGUGCUCGAGUGGCGAACGGGUGAGUAACACGUGAGUAACCUGCCCUUGACUUUGGGAUAACUUCAGGAAACUGGGGCUAAUACCGGAUAGGAGCUCCUGCUGCAUGGUGGGGGUUGGAAAGUUUCGGCGGUUGGGGAUGGACUCGCGGCUUAUCCGCUUGUUGGUGGGGUAGUGGCUGACCAAGGCUUUGACGGGUAGCCGGCCUGAGAGGGUGACCGGCCUCAUUGGUCCUGCGAGACGCCGCAGACUCCUACCGGCGGCAGUAGUCGAGAGUAUGACGCAGCGGGCGGAAGUCUGAGGCGGCAGCCCUGCGUUCGUGAUGCCGGCCUUCGGGUGGUAAACCACUGUGGCAUGUGCCGUGGCCGUAGUGACGGUACCUAGUAAGGAAGCACCGGCUAACUACGUG
This 468-nucleotide ribosomal RNA is filed under the name uncultured bacterium. Its description in RNAcentral is "partial 16S ribosomal RNA". It matches the Rfam family "Bacterial small subunit ribosomal RNA", at positions 28 to 507 of the family's 1533-position model. The record is from RNAcentral.